UACGAAGGGAGCAAGCGUUGUUCGGAUUUACUGGGCGUAAAGGGUGCGUAGGCGGUUUGAUAAGUUGGAUGUGAAAGCCCCGGGCUUAACCCAGGAAUUGCAUUCAAAACUAUCUGACUAGAGUAUGGAAGAGGGUGGUGGAAUUCCCAGUGUAGAGGUGAAAUUCGUAGAUAUUGGGAAGAACAUCCGUGGCGAAGGCGGCCACCUGGUCCAUUACUGACGCUGAGGCACGAAAGCGUGGGGAGCAAACAGG
Molecule: ribosomal RNA, 253 nt
Filed under: uncultured bacterium
Lineage: Bacteria
Description: partial 16S ribosomal RNA
Rfam family: Bacterial small subunit ribosomal RNA
Source: RNAcentral